Molecule: ribosomal RNA, 772 nt
Filed under: uncultured Bacteroidota bacterium
Lineage: Bacteria; Pseudomonadati; Bacteroidota
Description: bacterial SSU rRNA
Rfam family: Bacterial small subunit ribosomal RNA
Source: RNAcentral
GUAACGCGUAUGCAAUCUACCUUUCACAGAGGGAUAGCCCAGAGAAAUUUGGAUUAAUACCUCAUAGUAUAAUGAGUUGGCAUCAACACAUUAUUAAAGUCACAACGGUGAAAGAUGAGCAUGCGUCCCAUUAGCUAGAUGGUAAGGUAACGGCUUACCAUGGCAACGAUGGGUAGGGGUCCUGAGAGGGAGAUCCCCCACACUGGUACUGAGACACGGACCAGACUCCUACGGGAGGCAGCAGUGAGGAAUAUUGGACAAUGGGCGCAAGCCUGAUCCAGCCAUGCCGCGUGCAGGAUGACGGUCCUAUGGAUUGUAAACUGCUUUUGUACAGGAAGAAACACUGGUUCGUGAACCAGCUUGACGGUACUGUAAGAAUAAGGAUCGGCUAACUCCGUGCCAGCAGCCGCGGUAAUACGGAGGAUCCAAGCGUUAUCCGGAAUCAUUGGGUUUAAAGGGUCCGUAGGCGGUUUAGUAAGUCAGUGGUGAAAGCCCAUCGCUCAACGGUGGAACGGCCAUUGAUACUGCUAAACUUGAAUUAUUAGGAAGUAACUAGAAUAUGUAGUGUAGCGGUGAAAUGCUUAGAGAUUACAUGGAAUACCUAUUGCGAAGGCAGGUUACUACUAAUGGAUUGACGCUGAUGGACGAAAGCGUGGGUAGCGAACAGGAUUAGAUACCCUGGUAGUCCACGCCGUAAACGAUGGAUACUAGCUGUUGGAAGCAAUUUCAGUGGCUAAGCGAAAGUGAUAAGUAUCCCACCUGGGGAGUACGU